This 726-nucleotide long non-coding RNA is filed under the name Fukomys damarensis (Damara mole-rat). RNAcentral's name for it is "lncRNA (ENSFDAG00000021713.1)". The record is from RNAcentral. Lineage: Eukaryota; Metazoa; Chordata; Mammalia; Rodentia; Bathyergidae.
GGGGUGUAGGGGUGUUGGGUCAGGCGAGGUGGCCCGGCACGGAGAAUGCACUGCAGGCAGUGGGGUGGGGGGCGACGAAACCAAGAGGGAAGUUGGAGACAGCACCGAGGAGGGACAGCGGGGAGACCUGGACGGGGAGAAGUUGUCGCGAGGAAGGUGGUGGAGAGCCGCGCAGAGACGCUCACUGCGUGAAGGCCUGCAAGAAAGGAGUGCACCACUUAGAAGUCCAGAGAUCCCAUAAGGAGAUAUCUCCUCAAGGAAGCUUCUCUUGGGACUUGCAAACUGAAUUUGCUGUGAGAAAAGAGGACCGUUACAAGGCCCCAGUGGCCCUCCUAUCACCAGUCAUGUUCCCUGGGAGAAGCAAGCCUAAGCCACGCCUGUCUCUUAUCUGAACACCAUAAGCCGAGGAACAUUUGGGACUACCAGAGCUCAAAGAGGCAAAGAAGAAUCCUCCUUUAGUGACUUCAAACAGAACAAAGUCCUGCACCUUGAUUUUGUAUUAUGAACCCUAAGAACCAUGAGAGAAUAAAUUUCUGUUGCUUUAAGCCACCUUUUAUGGUACUUCAUUACAGCAGACCCAGGAAAUUAAUACGCUGUCACCCCAAGGCUCUGAUGCUGUACUGUUAGAGCCACUAUUUUGUAGAUGAGGAAACCAACAGAUUACUAGAGAUUAAGCAUGGAAAAGGAGCAUCCAGGUAAACUAACCUUUUGGAGUGCUACCCAAAC